Long non-coding RNA from Hipposideros armiger (great roundleaf bat), 1837 nucleotides. RefSeq lists it as uncharacterized. The transcript is spliced from 6 exons. Lineage: Eukaryota; Metazoa; Chordata; Mammalia; Chiroptera; Hipposideridae. The record is from RefSeq and is a predicted model, not a curated record.
CUCAGCUGUCCAGGCCUGGCGCUGUAUCAGCAGCUUAGGAACAAACAAACCACCUGCGAGUGGAUGGUGGUGGGAACACAUUCUCGUGUGUCUUAUCCUCCCCUCUCCAGGACCAGCUUCCAGCUGCGCUUUAUUGACCACAAGGAUUUGCAGGACUCAGCCCCGGACCAGGAUGGAUGGCCCGAGGCUGCACAGGUGAGCAGGAAGACAAGCGGUCAGAGCGCAGCCUCUGGGAGCCCGUCCGUCUGAGCGCAAAGCCCGUCUCCUGCAAUUCUCAGCUGGGACAGCCAACCCUUUCGGAUUUCUGAAAACUUCAAGCAACUCAGGUUCCUAGUGACCCUGAAGAAUGGACCUUACAUGAAAGACAGAGAAAUUGUGGAGUUCUUUCCUCUUCAUUGGUGGCCCCCCUUUUACAGCGGUGACCUGGCCUUUCUUGGAUUCGUGGUCCAGAUCAAGGCAGGAGAGAGAGAAGAAGCCUGAAGAAGUUGACCCAUGAUAUGUAUAAAGGGCCUACUACUGUCAUACCCCAGCGUUCUGACUGAGACUUGGAUAGACACCAGAGUGUGGCAGCAGGUGGGGACGAGGACACUGAGACCUGGCUGCUGUAGACCUGGCCUGCACAUACGUUCAUGAUGCGUUUUUACAGUUUCCUUCUAUUUGUGACAAGAGAUGCUGGUUGUCCAGUUAUGGUGGUUGACAAACAUUCCACAUAAGGACAGAGUUGGGGGAGUACUGGUUACUGAAACGUGGAACAGACACCGCCAGACUUCCCUCCAGGAUGGGGGCGCGUUGGAGAAUGUCCCAACUCUGGACAGUGGGUCAGUGGACCAGGUAUCCGCUUGCCUGGAGAGCAGCCUGAUCUGGGCCCCGAAGACCAGAGGAGGCACUUUACCUCCCUCCUUCACGUCAUGUACGGUGUCCUUCCCGGCAUGGGCAGCCUGGGGCCUUUACUCCUGCUCCUUGGAACUAAGGGUCUUCUGCUACCAGACAGCACCCAGGACAUGGAGGAUGAUGAGUGGGACCCUAGGGGGAAAAUAGGGGUGAGGUCCUGGUGACAAAUCACCAGAGAGGGAGCUCCCUGGUGGCCACAGAGAAAGCCCAGAGGUACUAGAGGCCCCUGGGCUGGGAUGUCCCGUCCUGUCUCCUAACAAGCUCUGUGGAUCUAGCUGUCCCCCAGGCUCCAGGGUGUGGUCUGCCCAGCAUUGUGAGCUGCAGGAGGGUGGCUGUAGUCGGGGACCCAAGGCCACCAUAGGGAAAGUGAUAGGGUGGCCUCAGGUCAUCCCAUGCAUGAUAGGACCCACCUGUCCCUGUACUAGCUCAGAGAAAGCGUCAAAGCCUGGGCUGCAGGCCCCCUGACCAUAGGCCCAGCCCUUCGGGGGGCACAUUUUGCUUUUGUGUUCAUUGUUCCAGAAGCAGGAAGCAGAACUCUUCAAGGAAAGAGACUCAUCAAGUCAACCUGGUUCCUGUCCUCCUCCUGGGGGCCUCACGGAGAUUCAGAUUCAAGCCUCCCCACCCUGGAGACCCUGCCCAGAGGUAGUGCCUCCCACGCCCUCCAUCCCUGAGAAGAGAACUUGGGCAGAAUCCCCUUCUGGCUGCCUGUGUCCUGGGUGCCCUGCCUCUGUUCAUGUUUCCUCUGAGAGUCCUAAGGCAGCCCACCUCACAGGCCACCUCCCUUGCCAGCUCCCAGGAGAAUGUAACAGCCCCCACCCCACUCCCUUCAUUGACAGGCCCCUCCCUGUCCACAGAUUGGCCCAGCCUAUGGCCUGGCCUCCGGGGCUGAGGAAGUAUGAUAUGCUGAAAAGAAAUCAGGUUGUGGAUGAGCAAAACUACCUAAUAA